AGAGUUUGAUCCUGGCUCAGAUUGAACGCUGGCGGAAUGCUUUACACAUGCAAGUCGAGCGGCAGCGCGGGGGCAACYCUGGCGGCGAGCGGCGAACGGGUGAGUAAUGUAUCGGAACGUACCCAGUCGUGGGGGAUAACUAUCCGAAAGGAUAGCUAAUACCGCAUACGUCCUGAGGGAGAAAGCGGGGGACCGUAAGGCCUCGCGCGAUUGGAGCGGCCGAUAUCGGAUUAGCUAGUUGGUGRGGUAAAGGCUCACCAAGGCGACGAUCCGUAGCUGGUCUGAGAGGACGACCAGCCACACUGGAACUGAGACACGGUCCAGACUCCUACGGGAGGCAGCAGUGGGGAAUUUUGGACAAUGGGGGCAACCCUGAUCCAGCCAUUCCGCGUGAGUGAAGAAGGCCUUCGGGUUGUAAAGCUCUUUCAGCAGGAACGAAACGGUGGCYCCUAAUACGRGYUACUAAUGACGGUACCUGAAGAAGAAGCACCGGCUAACUACGUGCCAGCAGCCGCGGUAAUACGUAGGGUGCGAGCGUUAAUCGGAAUUACUGGGCGUAAAGCGUGCGCAGGCGGUUAURUAAGACAGRUGUGAAAUCCCCGGGCUUAACCUGGGAACUGCGYUUGUGACUGYAUAACUYGAGUGUGGCAGAGGGGGGUGGAAUUCCACGUGUAGCAGUGAAAURCGUAGAGAUGUGGAGGAACACCGAUGGCGAAGGCAGCCCCCUGGGUCAACACUGACGCUCAUGCACGAAAGCGUGGGGAGCAAACAGGAUUAGAUACCCUGGUAGUCC
Molecule: ribosomal RNA, 793 nt
Filed under: uncultured bacterium
Lineage: Bacteria
Description: bacterial SSU rRNA
Rfam family: Bacterial small subunit ribosomal RNA
Source: RNAcentral